AGCGAACGCUGGCGGCAGGCCUAACACAUGCAAGUCGAACGGACCCUUCGGGGUUAGUGGCGGACGGGUGAGUAACACGUGGGAACGUGCCUUUAGGUUCGGAAUAGCUCCUGGAAACGGGUGGUAAUGCUGAAUGUGCCCUUCGGGGGAAAGAUUUAUCGCCUUUAGAGCGGCCCGCGUCUGAUUAGCUAGUUGGUGAGGUAAUGGCUCACCAAGGCGACGAUCAGUAGAUGGUCUGAGAGGAUGACCAGCCACAUUGGGACUGAGACACGGCCCAAAAUCCUACGGGAGGCAGAAGUGGGGAGUCUUGCGCAAUGGUCGAGAGCCUGACGCAGCCAUGCCGCGUGGAUGAUGAAGGUCUUAGGAUUGUAAAAUCCUUUCUCCGGUGAAGAUGAUGACUGUAGCCGGAGAAGAAGCCCCGGCUAACUUCGUGCCAGCCGCCGCAGUAA
RNAcentral lists this ribosomal RNA (449 nucleotides) under uncultured bacterium. Its description in RNAcentral is "partial 16S ribosomal RNA". It matches the Rfam family "Bacterial small subunit ribosomal RNA", at positions 29 to 523 of the family's 1533-position model. The record is from RNAcentral.